GUGGACGUUGCAUAAGUCCUGUACUGGCCGUUUGCUGGGACCCACAGAAAAUCAUUGCCAGACUUUGACAAGGACGGUGUGUGCAGAACAAUGUGACGGCAGAUGCUA
This 108-nucleotide small RNA is filed under the name Pan troglodytes (chimpanzee). Its description in RNAcentral is "processed transcript". Lineage: Eukaryota; Metazoa; Chordata; Mammalia; Primates; Hominidae. The record is from RNAcentral.